Non-coding RNA from Pimephales promelas (fathead minnow), 556 nucleotides. NCBI's taxonomy places the organism in Eukaryota, Metazoa, Chordata, Actinopteri, Cypriniformes, Leuciscidae. The record is from RefSeq and is a predicted model, not a curated record.
ACACACACACACACACCACUCUGGCCAUGCAUGGGGGAGAGAGAAUCACAGGGAGAUCUUCACAACUUUAAACUCAUCUUUUGUAAACCAUAUAAGUAUUGUAUGGACAUCUUAGGAACUACUUUGUCGACCAGCUGGAAAAACACAGGAUGAAAGAAUGUAAUGCUGUUACAGACACACAGACACACACACACAGGCUCACACAUGCUCACACGGAUGCUGCUGUUGAGAGGGAGAGAGGUUUUUCACAUCUUGAUGAAAAUGAACUCGUGUAAGAUUUUUCUCUGGGCGAAGGAAUGUUUCAGCCAUCUCACACCCCGACUGUCACAGGGCCGAAGGACUGUGAGAGAAUCAUCAGCACUCAAGUAAGCCGCUUUUAUUUUACAGAUCCUAUUGUGAUACGGGCUAUAUUAGAAAAUUAUCCAUCAUCACGCUACUCAGAUCGAUCUCGGGGGUUUUAGGUAAGGAUAAAGCGUCCAUACUCAUGUAACUCAUGUUUCCCUCUGUGAAUUCUGUAGAACAGAGACCACCCAUUUUAUAGACGACUUUUCUGGUA